Molecule: non-coding RNA, 79 nt
Organism: Salmo salar (Atlantic salmon)
Lineage: Eukaryota; Metazoa; Chordata; Actinopteri; Salmoniformes; Salmonidae
Source: Rfam
UGGCUCAGUUGGUAGAGCAUGGUGUUUGCAACGCCAGCAUGGUGUGUGCAACGCCAGGGUUGUGGGUUCGAUUUCCCAC